CUUGGUCAUUUAGAGGAAGUAAAAGUCGUAACAAGGUCUCCGUUGGUGAACCAGCGGAGGGAUCAUUACCGAGUUUACAACUCCCAAACCCAAUGUGAACGUUACCAAACUGUUGCCUCGGCGGGAUCUUCUGCCCCGGGUGCGUCGCAGCCCCGGACCAAGGCGCCCGCCGGAGGAAUCAACCAAAACUCUUAUUGUAUACCCCCUCGCGGGUUUUUUUUAUAAUCUGAGCCUUCUCGGCGCCUCCCGUAGGCGUUUCGAAAAUGAAUCAAAACUUUCAACAACGGAUCUCUUGGUUCUGGCAUCGAUGAAGAACGCAGCGAAAUGCGAUAAGUAAUGUGAAUUGCAGAAUUCAGUGAAUCAUCGAAUCUUUGAACGCACAUUGCGCCCGCCAGUAUUCUGGCGGGCAUGCCUGUCCGAGCGUCAUUUCAGCCCUCGAACCCCUCCGGGGGGUCGGCGUUGGGGAUCGGCCUUCCUUCACGGGGGCCGUCUCCGAAAUACAGUGGCGGUCUCGCCGCAGCCUCUCCUGCGCAGUAGUUUGCACACUCGCAUCGGGAGCGCGGCGCGUCCACAGCCGUUAAACACCCAACUUUCUGAAAUGUUGACCUCGGAUCAGGUAGGAAUACCCGCUGAACUUAAGCAUAUCAAUAAGCGGAGGA
RNAcentral lists this ribosomal RNA (659 nucleotides) under Trichoderma velutinum. RNAcentral describes it as "eukaryotic LSU rRNA". The stretch from base 273 to 426 matches the Rfam family "5.8S ribosomal RNA". The record is from RNAcentral. Lineage: Eukaryota; Fungi; Ascomycota; Sordariomycetes; Hypocreales; Hypocreaceae.